This 253-nucleotide ribosomal RNA is filed under the name uncultured bacterium. Its description in RNAcentral is "partial 16S ribosomal RNA". It matches the Rfam family "Bacterial small subunit ribosomal RNA", at positions 524 to 776 of the family's 1533-position model. The record is from RNAcentral.
UACGUAGGCCCCGAGCGUUAUCCGGAAUUACUGGGCGUAAAGCGUUCGUAGGCGGUUUAGAAAGUCUUGCGUGAAAGACCGGAGCUUAACUCCGAGUUUGCGCUCGAAACUUCUAGACUUGAAUGAGGGAGAGGUAAGCGGAAUAGUAUGAGUAGGGGUGCAAUCCGUUGAUACAUACUAGAACACCAAAAGCGAAGGCAGCUUACUGGAACUCUAUUGACGCUGAGGAACGAAAGCGUGGGGAGCGAAAAGG